This 72-nucleotide transfer RNA is filed under the name Capra hircus (goat). It matches the Rfam family "tRNA". From Rfam's summary of the family: Transfer RNA (tRNA) molecules are approximately 80 nucleotides in length. Their secondary structure includes four short double-helical elements and three loops (D, anti-codon, and T loops). The record is from Rfam by way of RNAcentral. RNAcentral also lists the same sequence under 3 other names. Lineage: Eukaryota; Metazoa; Chordata; Mammalia; Artiodactyla; Bovidae.
UCCCUGGUGGCUCAGAGGGUAAAGCAUCUGCCUGCAAUGCAGGAGACCUGGGUUCGAUCCCUGGGUGGGGAA